CGGGUUGGGUUCUCGGGAGCU
RNAcentral lists this microRNA (21 nucleotides) under Danio rerio (zebrafish). RNAcentral describes it as "dre-miR-125b-2-3p". Its record names the gene dre-miR-125b-2-3p. Lineage: Eukaryota; Metazoa; Chordata; Actinopteri; Cypriniformes; Danionidae. The record is from miRBase by way of RNAcentral. RNAcentral also lists the same sequence under 1 other name.